Transfer RNA from Candidatus Desulforudis audaxviator MP104C, 73 nucleotides. It matches the Rfam family "tRNA". From Rfam's summary of the family: Transfer RNA (tRNA) molecules are approximately 80 nucleotides in length. The record is from Rfam. NCBI's taxonomy places the organism in Bacteria, Bacillati, Bacillota, Clostridia, Thermoanaerobacterales, Desulforudaceae.
GGGGGAGUAGUUCAAUUGGCAGAACAGCGGUCUCCAAAACCGAAGGUUGUGGGUUCGAUUCCUGCCUCCCCCG